RNAcentral lists this non-coding RNA (31 nucleotides) under Homo sapiens (human). The record is from RNAcentral. Lineage: Eukaryota; Metazoa; Chordata; Mammalia; Primates; Hominidae.
UCACAUCCCAGACGAUGGGCAGCCGGGCAGA